UAAUGACUUAUGAGUGAGAUGUAUUAAUCAUUCAGGUUGGAGCAGUUGCUGGCCUUUGAGAACUAUCAGGUGAAGACACAUGGAGAUGUAAAGCCUAGGUACAUGCAACUCCUGAUAAAAAGAAGGCACGCACACAACUGGAAUAUCAAUAUCAAACAUCCUACGUACGGCAGGUAAAGCCCAGGUACAUGCAACGUAAACAUCCUAC
RNAcentral lists this long non-coding RNA (208 nucleotides) under Prunus persica (peach). RNAcentral's name for it is "long non-coding RNA (PPER_LNC001218)". Lineage: Eukaryota; Viridiplantae; Streptophyta; Magnoliopsida; Rosales; Rosaceae. The record is from RNAcentral.